Gorilla gorilla gorilla (western lowland gorilla) is the source of this 97-nucleotide ribosomal RNA. NCBI's taxonomy places the organism in Eukaryota, Metazoa, Chordata, Mammalia, Primates, Hominidae. The record is from Ensembl.
GUCUACAGACAUACCACCCUUAACACACCGCUCUUGUCUGAUCUUGGAAACUAAGCAGGGUCGGGCCUGCUUAGUAUUUGGUUGGGAGAUGUAGACC